AGUUUCCCAUACCAAAUUAUGCAUUUCUAUCGUUUUGCAAGCUGUGCGUUUUCCUCUUCCUCUUUCCAUUCUCGCCUUCGGUCGUCCCUUUCAAAUCUCGGUCUGUGUCCUUUUCAGCUCUUCGUUUCUUCCCUCAACACCGUAUCAGUGUUUUGUUUGUACAGAGAAGACGGUAACUUGGCUGGUGCACUGUCUGUUUUCAGUCGAGGGUGGCUGAGAAGUGUUGCACUGCUCCAGAUUCCUUUUGUUUAAAACCUCUCAGAAAGCGAUGAUUGUCGUCCUGCGCUCUAGCAACUAUAAAGAACACAGCUUUAGUAAAGAAACAUGCGGUUCAAGGCUCCACAUCGGACAUUGACUACGAGACUACAGCUUAAAAAUUGAACCUGGUGGUAGCUAUGAAAUCACAAAUUUUCGGACCACUAGAAUGAAGGGCCAGUACAAUGUGGUGCCGCAUGAGACUCAGCUUAUAUUCAGUGGUAAAACAAAUUUCAAAAAGCUCUCAAAAUGUGUUUCCACCUAUUCCUCGACACCGGUUUUUCCUACAGGAUUACAACAUUCUUUAUCCCCACUUGAACAAAGUUGACAUUCUUACAGAUGUCAUUAGUCAUCUCACUGCAAUACAACAUUUAGAGCCAAAACAGAUUAAUCAAAGGGUAGCAUACAAGUGUGAUAUACACAUUCAAAAUGUCAGAAGGGAACAACUCACUGUUACACUAUGGGGAGACGUCGCUGAAGAAUUUUGUUCUUCAUCUGUCCAAGCACUGCCUCUCCCAAUUGUUGUCAUUUUUACAAGUUUAAAAGUGAAGCUUUAUCUAGAUAAAAUUGUGACGAACAGUACAGAUUGCUCACUUCUCCUUUUUGAUCCAAACAUCCCAGAAGUUAAUGCAUACAAGUCGGUGUAAGUAUUUCUAUAGCUUUUAACACAAUUAAACUCUUUUCACUGUUGUAAAAGCAAAAGAAAUAUUAGUUUCAUAAAAUUAUUCAAACAGUUUUACAUUUUCAAUCAUACAGGUAUGCAAAUUGUAACGAGCCUGUGAAAAUAUUGGCCCCCUUCUCCAGACAAGUAAAUGAGGCUGAAAUUUUACGUACAACCAAGAUGUUCACAAUUGAUGAAGUCGCUUUUCUAGAUCUUGAUUUACACAAGAAUGAUACGUUUUUCUGUAAAGCGUGUGUCAAGUAUUUUGACACACGUUAUCAAUGGUGGUAUAGUGCGUAUGCCAACUGUGUAAAACAAAUGCAUAAAGACUUGACAACUGGACAGCUGAUCUGCCAAAAGCAUCCAAACCAAAUUCCAACUCCUUGGUAAUGUUUAACAUGCAUUCCUCAAACUUUGUCUUAAAUAUUUGUUAUCCUUAUCUUUUAUUCUUUCUUUAUAUAAUCUAACAUUUACCAAAUCUGUUUUUUCACAUUUUUCACAUUUUUUCUCAUAUUUGUAUGCACAUGGUUUGAAUACAUUUAUCAAGAAUGAAAUCAGGUCAGAUAUCCUCACCCUCCUUGAUUAGUUUUCUCGCUGUUUUUCUGCAGCUGUUAUCCAAAACUUUGUUAGAGUGAUACUUAGCUUAAAUUUUGUGAUGUUAAACAAAAAAUUCCAACCUUUCCUGCUUUCACGUUAUUUAAACAACUUUCAAAUACUAUGUGGUCAACAAUUAAAUCAUUGUUCAAAACAUACUCAUUGCAGCACA
This is a non-coding RNA of Malus domestica (apple), 1682 nucleotides long. Lineage: Eukaryota; Viridiplantae; Streptophyta; Magnoliopsida; Rosales; Rosaceae. The record is from RefSeq and is a predicted model, not a curated record.